UUUCUCAAGCAAGCAUUUUAAUUUACCCUUUCAUUUUUAAAAUUUAUGAUAAAGCUCGCUAAAAUCAUCCUUCCCCAUAACCUUACAUGACAAAGGAUACAGAUUUCAGAAAGGACAUAUGCACUUCAUACAAACAAGACAAAUUUAGUUGUUUAUGACAACACUUAAACAUAUCUUUUUUGAGGAGAUUUUCAAUCUGACAUGAGAAAAAUUCCCUAUCAAACACCAAAAAUUAAACAUGUUAAUCCCAACACUAUAUCUGUUAUUGCCAAUCAUAAACGCAAUCAAAUGCUAUAGUUUUGGCAGGCUGUGAACCACGUAAACAAGGGACUAUAAAAAACUUCCAUAUUUUUUUGAUGUACCUGCAAUUCCUUACAGGAACCAUGUACAAUUUAGAUAGUAACCCAAACCCCCAACCCAAUAAAAGGUUGGAAUUGGGGAAAAGAAAACUCUGCAACAUUUUUAAGAAUGAGAGAAUCAUGACAUCAAACUUAAGCUGUUGUGGAGCAACAUUAAGAUUUCUCAGACAUCUAAUCAUGGAAAGGAAAAAAGAUACUGCAGUGUAAGGUAUUGGCAGCAUAAAUUUAGGUAGCAAGUCAAGUCUCUCAUCUUAAUUAUCUCACGAAUUAACAAGAGAAAGUAGAUGGGUGGAUUUUUUAUGCCACUCUACAAAGAAGCCCUCGAGGCAUGUAGCCUAUAAGUCAUGUCUUUUCUUCAACAUAAAAAACCAAACCUAAUUGCUCCUCAACAAACAUCAGCUAUGGAAUGAUAAUUCAUAUCCACUUAACAAUAACACUAAGUGCUUAUUUCAUUUGAUGAAUACGCUUCUAGAGGCAUUCAAUACUCUACGUAGGACAAAACCAAACCAUUUUAAUCAACACUCCCUCUUUUUAUCCUCAAUGUGUGUUACAU
Molecule: unclassified non-coding RNA, 912 nt
Filed under: Hevea brasiliensis (rubber tree)
Lineage: Eukaryota; Viridiplantae; Streptophyta; Magnoliopsida; Malpighiales; Euphorbiaceae
Source: RNAcentral